Molecule: non-coding RNA, 71 nt
Organism: Stegodyphus mimosarum
Lineage: Eukaryota; Metazoa; Arthropoda; Arachnida; Araneae; Eresidae
Source: Rfam
GCCUUCGUGGUGUAAUGGUAGCACAGUCGGCCCGUAUUCGAGAGGUCCAGGUUCGAGUCCCGGCGAGGGCA